GAUGAACGCUGGCGGCGUGCCUAAUACAUGCAAGUCGAACGCUUCACUUCGGUGAAGAGUGGCGAACGGGUGAGUAAUACAUAAGUAACCUGGCAUCUACAGGGGGAUAACUGAUGGAAACGUCAGCUAAGACCGCAUAGGUGUAGAGAUCGCAUGAACUCUAUAUGAAAAGUGCUACGGGACUGGUAGAUGAUGGACUUAUGGCGCAUUAGCUUGUUGGUAGGGUAACGGCCUACCAAGGCGACGAUGCGUAGCCGACCUGAGAGGGUGACCGGCCACACUGGAACUGAGACACGGCCCAGACUCCUACGGGAGGCAGCAGUAGGGAAUUUUCGGCAAUGGGGGAAACCCUGACCGAGCAACGCCGCGUGAAGGAAGAAGUAAUUCGUUAUGUAAACUUCUGUCAUAGAGGAAGAACGGUGGAUAUAGGGAAUGAUAUCCAAGUGACGGUACUCUAUAAGAAAGCCACGGCUAACUACGUG
RNAcentral lists this ribosomal RNA (482 nucleotides) under uncultured bacterium. Its description in RNAcentral is "partial 16S ribosomal RNA". It matches the Rfam family "Bacterial small subunit ribosomal RNA", at positions 28 to 507 of the family's 1533-position model. The record is from RNAcentral.